RNAcentral lists this ribosomal RNA (552 nucleotides) under Quoyula madreporarum. RNAcentral describes it as "partial 12S ribosomal RNA". It matches the Rfam family "Microsporidia small subunit ribosomal RNA", at positions 391 to 1204 of the family's 1311-position model. The record is from RNAcentral. Lineage: Eukaryota; Metazoa; Mollusca; Gastropoda; Neogastropoda; Muricidae.
UGCCAGCAGUCGCGGUUAGACCAAGAGGCCAAAUCAUUUCUUACGGUAAAAAACAGUUAGGUUAAAAAAGGCUAAUUAACUAGUAUUAUAAAGUAAAAUUUGAAUAUAAAAAGACUCUUUCAAGCUGUAUCCGAACUGUGAAAUCCUUGAGGGAAACUGGGAUUAGAUACCCCAUUAUUCUAGGUUGUAAAUAUAUUUACCAGGGGACUACGAACGAAUGUUUAAAACUCAAAGGGCUUGGCGGUGUUUUAGACCCCCCAGGGGAAACCUGUCUCAUAAUCGAUAGUCCACGUUGCACCUAACCUUAUUUAUCUAGUAUGUAUACCGUCGUCGGCAGGUAACUUUCAAGAAAAUAAAAGUUAACAGGUAAUUUUUUUGGAUGGGACGUCAGAUCAAGGUGCAGCUUAUAGUAAGGUGAGGAUGGGUUACAAUUACAAUUUAUAUUACCUAAAUUAGCUUGAAAAGCUAACUAAAGGAGGACUUGGAAGUAAGCUUAGAUUAGAAAAAUAUUCUGAAUAAGGCUCUGAAAUGUGUACUAACCGCCCGUCGCUC